CUCAAUAUGCCAUAUGUAUUUAGGCAUUUUAUGUGGAGAAAAUUAACAUGGUCUGAAAUAUGAGUCCCAGUCUACAGCAAUACCACCUUCAGUGCACCUGAUCUCGUCUGAAAUAUGAGCCCCAUAUCAAUUAUGUUACGGUCAAUUUUAGGUUAUGAAAUCUAAUGUUGGUUCAACCUCUGAAACUUAUCACAUUUUCUAAGCCCUGGAAAAAUAAAUGAGCCAGAACUUUUAUCUAUUUAUGCUCAUCCACUGGUAAGAUCAUAUUACCAAUUCAGAAACAAAUUACCAAACACCUUGGGAAAUCAUUAUUUAUGGAGCUAAAUUCAAAAAUCAGAGUUCACAAUGCAUUUUGAUGUACCACGGUAAAAAGGAAUCAAUAUUGGUCCUCUAGAAAUCACUGGUUCUUUCAAAUUAUAUCUUCACUUUUUAAGCAUCUGACAUUUACAAUAAGCAUCUGGUUCCCUCUGUCCAAUUCCAUGACACAAAAAAACAACUCUACAAAAUCUAAGGAUUGAUUUGUUACUAAGCUACUUCUUAUAGAGAUAACUUUAUUAAUAUGCACCCUAGAUAGUAUAACAAGCAGUGUGAUAUUUUAAAUUCUCUGCAGAAAGUGUUUAUUAAUAGGAAAAUGCACUUAAAUAACAUAGCUUUCCAAAUAACAGAGUAACAUAUAUAAUUUAAAAUUAACGAUUCCCACCUAUUAAAGUGGUUAAGUCAUAAGAACAAUGCUGAAUAAAAUAAGUUACAGAUGGAUGGAUGGAGAAGGUUACAUAUAUGUGUGUGUGCAUAUAUAUAUAUAUAUAUAUAUAUAUAUAUACGUGCACACACACAUAUAUAUAUUACUGUGAUUAUAAAAUUUUAAAAUAUGCAAUACAAUUUAUUAUUUAUGGAUUCAUACAUAUGUGGUUUAAAAGUUUAAAAUGUGCGAAUGAAUAAUGCACAUCAAAUACAGUAUAGUGCCUGUUAGCUCUAAGCAUAUAUAAUUGGGAAUAGGAUUAAAGAGUCAUACACAAAAAGCAUUAACUGCACCUGCAAUGUUUGAUUUAUUAAAAUAAAUUUUUUGAUGAAGCAAAUAUGGGAUAUAUGAUUUGCUAUAUAUUCUCUCCUUUCUUCUGUUUGAAAUAUUUUGUGAUUAAAAAGAAAAUAAGCUUCAUUUCAAUUUUGAAAGCCAGGCCUGCUCUCUAACAAUUAUUGUAAGUGUAGAAAAUAUUAAAAAUCCA
Molecule: long non-coding RNA, 1223 nt
Filed under: Marmota monax (woodchuck)
Lineage: Eukaryota; Metazoa; Chordata; Mammalia; Rodentia; Sciuridae
Source: RNAcentral